Molecule: ribosomal RNA, 110 nt
Filed under: Propithecus coquereli (Coquerel's sifaka)
Lineage: Eukaryota; Metazoa; Chordata; Mammalia; Primates; Indriidae
Source: RNAcentral
GUCUAUGGCCAUACCACCCUGAAAGCACCCGAUCUCAUCUGAUCUUGGAAGCUAAGCAGGAUCAGGCCUGGUUAGUACUUGGAUGGGAGAAGUGAAAAUUGCCAUGUUUA